Molecule: ribosomal RNA, 253 nt
Filed under: uncultured bacterium
Lineage: Bacteria
Description: partial 16S ribosomal RNA
Rfam family: Bacterial small subunit ribosomal RNA
Source: RNAcentral
UACGUAGGGGGCGAGCGUUGUCCGGAGUUACUGGGCGUAAAGGGCUCGUAGGCGGCCAACUAAGUCAGACGUGAAAUCCCUCGGCUUAACCGGGGAACUGCAUCUGAUACUGGAUGGCUUGAGUUCGGGAGAGGGAUGCGGAAUUCCAGGUGUAGCGGUGAAAUGCGUAGAUAUCUGGAGGAACACCGGUGGCGAAGGCGGGUCUCUGGGCCGAUACUGACGCUGAGGGGCGAAAGCGUGGGGAGCGAACAGG